RNAcentral lists this ribosomal RNA (346 nucleotides) under Cyrtodactylus oldhami. RNAcentral's name for it is "partial 16S ribosomal RNA". It matches the Rfam family "Archaeal large subunit ribosomal RNA", at positions 1992 to 2507 of the family's 2987-position model. The record is from RNAcentral. Lineage: Eukaryota; Metazoa; Chordata; Lepidosauria; Squamata; Gekkonidae.
GAGACACCUUCAACGGCCGCGGUAUCCUAACCGUGCAAAGGUAGCGCAAUCACUUGUCCCUUAAAUGAGGACUAGUAUGAAUGGCUAACUGAGGGUACAACUGUCUCCUGAGGCCAAUCAAUGAAACUGAACCUCCAGUACAAAAGCUGGAAUAUACACACAAGACGAGAAGACCCUGUGGAGCUUUAACCUCUGCUACUACCCACCACCCCGCCCCUGCCACGGGGCCAAGCCAAUACAAAAAUAGUAGCUACUUUAAGUUGGGGCGACUGUGGGGCAAAAACAAACCCCCAUGAAACAAGACUAACCAUCCUCAAAGGCCAACAUGCCAACAAGCCCCCCCCCU